Molecule: non-coding RNA, 107 nt
Organism: Gossypium raimondii (Peruvian cotton)
Lineage: Eukaryota; Viridiplantae; Streptophyta; Magnoliopsida; Malvales; Malvaceae
Source: Rfam
AAUUCAUGGUAUGGGCACUUCCUUAGAAUCAACUUAAAUAUUUCUCAUGAUUCGUAUAGGGAUUCACAUUCAUAUUGCUUAAAGUUAGCGAUUUCUUGCUUAAGCUU